CUCAGGCUGCAUUCUUCCUGGGGCCACGGUAACAGGAUCCAGUCUGACCUCUCUCGGGUUUUCUGCACUUCUCCUUGGGGUCACAGAGGACAUGAUCACCACCCACCUCUCCAUCAGUGAACCGUGAGGAAGGGGAUGAGGGUCCUGGGACCCAGAUGGACAUCUUCCCUCGGGAAUCUGGCUGGAAUGACCAUGGGCCCCGUUCC
This is a non-coding RNA of Ceratotherium simum simum (southern white rhinoceros), 206 nucleotides long. Lineage: Eukaryota; Metazoa; Chordata; Mammalia; Perissodactyla; Rhinocerotidae. The record is from RefSeq and is a predicted model, not a curated record.